This 31-nucleotide non-coding RNA is filed under the name Mus musculus (house mouse). Lineage: Eukaryota; Metazoa; Chordata; Mammalia; Rodentia; Muridae. The record is from RNAcentral.
UGGCUGUUCUACAUUCCAUUGGAUCCUCUUC